Engraulis encrasicolus (European anchovy) is the source of this 743-nucleotide long non-coding RNA. RefSeq lists it as uncharacterized. NCBI's taxonomy places the organism in Eukaryota, Metazoa, Chordata, Actinopteri, Clupeiformes, Engraulidae. The transcript has 4 exons. The record is from RefSeq and is a predicted model, not a curated record.
GUGUGAGUGUUCGUGAAUGUGUUCACGCAGAUAUAAGAAGUUGGGGUUGGGGUUGAUGAUCCACAUGAUGGUGAUGGACCAGGACAGCUCUGGACCUCCUGACUGGCAGCUCCAUCCUCAACCUCCCUUCCUGUCCUUCACACAUGUGCAGGCAGAGGCAGUUUUCUGAAGGAUGGUUAAUGUCAGUACCAACAUGUUGUGAUGGAGGCUUCCACCUGAGCUGAACACAGAAACUUGCACACAGUGAUGGAAGCAGUCGUUCCUGUUCAGCAUUGAUAUGCCGGUAAUGGGUUUGAUGAGCCACAGCAUGGUGAUGGGCAAUCAGCAUCAGGACCAGGGCCGCUCACAAGGAGAACCUCCUGCCCUGCCUCUUCAUCCUCAACCUCCAAUCUUCCUGCUCUUCACACAUGUGCAGGCACAGAGCCAGUUUUCAGAGGGAGGGCUGAUGACACCAGCAACUUCGGAUCUGAAACCUGAUCAACCCAGCACCAACCACUGUGCCGCUCCUCCUCUGCCAACUGCACCACAUGGCUCCACCAUCUCAAAAAGGCACAGACACUACUCCACUUCCUGCGAAGGAUGAGAGAAGAGCCGACCUCCCCACAACGGCACUCACCACCUUCUACAGGGGUGUCAUUGAGAGCAUCCUGACCAGCAGCCUCUCUGUCUGGCAUGGCAGCCGUCAAGCUGAAGACUAGAAGGCAGUAGAGAGUGGUGAGGACAGCAGAAAAGCUCAUAAGAUC